CCAAGCCGAGUGUUCAUUAAUAAUUAUAUUGAUAUCAUUACCUGUAUUACCUGAUAUGAUGAUAUUGAACGAACUUGAAAGUCAUUUUUACCAGGAAUGCAUCGCACGCAAGUCCAUAGUUUGAUCAAAUGACCGGCGUGAACACAUUAUCAUAAUAAGUCAGUGCAGAUUAGCAGCUACACGAACUAUGUGAUGAUCGUCGAAAAACCGAUGAUACGUAAAUAAAAAUAAUUCCGGCGAUGAAGUGUCCCAACAGAGAUUGUGGAGCAGAGUGCGAGGGCAAAUAUUGCACAGAAUGUGGCAAACAAUUGGUGCCGAGAAAAGCUGAACGAACAGUAGAAUCUAUUAUAUGCACCGGUAAAGAAGACAACGGUAGACCAUGUGGGAAACAAAUAAAACGUUCUUAUAAGUUUUGUAAUAACUGUGGGAAAAAAAUUGAUCCACAAGAGUUUUGUAGAGGGGACUGUCAAAAAUGUGGCGCAGACUGUCCUGCAUCAGAAAUAAUGUGCAUGAUUUGUUCUGAUAGUGAAUCAUUAGGAGGACCAAAACAUGAAGAAAAUGUAUUGUCGACCCAUACAGAUGGAAAUGACAAACCGCCCGAUCAGCUACUACAAUUAAACAAUCUUCCUAUAUCUGAACAGAACGAAAUUCAAGGUCAUGACAGUAGUCUUAC
Molecule: long non-coding RNA, 673 nt
Organism: Dreissena polymorpha
Lineage: Eukaryota; Metazoa; Mollusca; Bivalvia; Myida; Dreissenidae
Exons: 3
Source: RefSeq, a predicted model, not a curated record